GUCUACAGCCAUGCCACCCUGACCAAGCCUGAUCCUGUCUGAUCUUGGAAGCUAUGCAGGGUAGGGCCUGGUUAGUACUUAGAGGGAGACUACCUAGGAAGACCAGGUUCUGUAGGCA
This 118-nucleotide ribosomal RNA is filed under the name Pteropus alecto (black flying fox). The record is from RNAcentral. Lineage: Eukaryota; Metazoa; Chordata; Mammalia; Chiroptera; Pteropodidae.